RNAcentral lists this small RNA (93 nucleotides) under Rubeoparvulum massiliense. Its description in RNAcentral is "EGFOA RNA". It matches the Rfam family "EGFOA RNA", at positions 12 to 102 of the family's 108-position model. The record is from RNAcentral. Lineage: Bacteria; Bacillati; Bacillota; Bacilli; Caryophanales; Bacillaceae.
UGUAGCCCCGUCACGGUCGCCUAAAUGCGAGGGAUUCAUGACAGAGCAUGUUUAUCAUGCACGUGGUAAAGCCAUACCUGAGCAUGUUUGAUG